GUGAGGAAUAUUGGUCAAUGGACGCGAGUCUGAACCAGCCAAGUAGCGUGAAGGAUGACUGCCCUAUGGGUUGUAAACUUCUUUUAUAAGGGAAUAAAGUGAGGGACGUGUCCCUUUUUGUAUGUACCUUAUGAAUAAGGAUCGGCUAACUCCGUGCCAGCAGCCGCGGUAAUACGGAGGAUCCAAGCGUUAUCCGGAUUUAUUGGGUUUAAAGGGAGCGUAGGUUGACAUAUAAGUCAGCUGUGAAAGUUUACGGCUCAACCGUGAAAUUGCAGUUGAUACUGUAUGUCUUGAGUGUACAAGAGGUGGGCGGAAUUCGUGGUGUAGCGGUGAAAUGCUUAGAUAUCACGAAGAACUCCAAUUGCGAAGGCAGCUCACUGGGGUACAACUGACACUGAGGCUCGAAAGUGUGGGUAUCAAACAGGAUUAGAUACCCGAGUAGUCC
Molecule: ribosomal RNA, 445 nt
Filed under: uncultured bacterium
Lineage: Bacteria
Description: partial 16S ribosomal RNA
Rfam family: Bacterial small subunit ribosomal RNA
Source: RNAcentral